Molecule: long non-coding RNA, 406 nt
Filed under: Homo sapiens (human)
Lineage: Eukaryota; Metazoa; Chordata; Mammalia; Primates; Hominidae
Description: long intergenic non-protein coding RNA 395
Source: RNAcentral
CUCUUUUCUAAGAAGACAUUCAUCUCUUUUCUGAGAAGGCAUUUCUGCAAAGGCAUUCAUCAUCAUCAGCCUCCUGAGUAGCUGGAAUUACAGAACUUCCAAGAUGGUGGUGAGCCGCUUCCAAGAUGGUGGCAGGCCGCUUCCAAGAUGGUGGCAGGCCGCUUCCAAGAUGGUGGCAAGUCUCGUGUUCUCUGACCUGGGGUUCUUGGCCUCAUGGAGUCCAAGGAAUGGAAUCUUGGGUCAUGCGCUACAGCUGUCAUACUGAAAUCAUGAAGCUAAAGGCUACAGAGGGCUACUAGAAGCCUGAGUUUCUGAAGACUGUGUGGAACCAUCAAAGCAGCCCUGAAUAUUUCCCUUGAGACUUUUCCAUUAUAGGAAGGGCAAAUAAAUAGAUGAUGUAUGAUGU